RNAcentral lists this ribosomal RNA (862 nucleotides) under uncultured bacterium. Its description in RNAcentral is "bacterial SSU rRNA". It matches the Rfam family "Bacterial small subunit ribosomal RNA", at positions 130 to 1040 of the family's 1533-position model. The record is from RNAcentral.
CCUGUGCUUCAGGAUAGCGUCAGAAAACUUGUAACCAUCCGAAAGGGGCGGUAAUACUAUAAUACGGAUAUAAUGAUCAAAGAUUUAUCGCAUGAGCGCCAUUCAUCGCUGUGGUAGGUACGGUCACAGGCAUACGGUAGCGACUGAAGGUGCCCGCACAUCGACUGGACAUGCCCGACCUCACGAGGGCCGCAGAACGAAUAUUGCGCAAUGGGCGAAAGCCUGACGCAGCGACGCCGCGUGCGGGAUGAAGUCCUUCGGGAUGUAAACCGCUGACAGGGGUAAGAAAGUUCGCUUCGGCGGAUUGAUCUAACCCAAGGAAGUCACGGCUAACUUCGUGCCAGCAGCCGCGGUAAGACGAAGGUGGCUAGCGUUGUUCGGUGUCACUGGGCUUAAAGCGUGUGUAGGCGGAAAAGUAAGCGUCUUGUGAAAGCCCCCGGCUUAACCGGGGAACUGCUUGGCGAACUGCUUUUCUUGAGGCAAGUAGGGGCGCAUGGAACUCUUGGUGGAGCGGUGGAAUGCGUAGAUAUCAAGAGGAACGCCAAUGGAGAAAUCAGUGCACUGGGCUUGUCCUGACGCUGAGACACGAAAGCGUGGGGAGCGAACGGGAUUAGAUACCCCGGUAGUCACGCUGUAACGAUGUCUACUAGGUGCGGCAGUCUACGCUAUCGCGACGAGCAAAGUAUAGUGACGCGGGGAGUCGGUCCAGGCUAAAACUCAAAGGAAUCGACGGGGGCUCACACAAGCGGUGGAGCAUGUGGAUUAAUUCGAAGCAACGCGCAGAACCUUACCUGGGUUUGACAUGCUUGGAUGCCAGCCUGGAAACAGGGGAAGCUGCCUUCGGGUGAAACUUGCACAGGUG